AGAUCGAAAAAGCCGAGUUCCGCAGAUCGGAAACGGGGGAACCAAGUUUUUGGGGUGAAUGGCUGUCCAUGUGGCAGUCUAGGGCGUCCUUUCGACCGAACCCUUCAGCUAACCUCGUAGGCUCACGAGAGGAGCAGU
This 138-nucleotide small RNA is filed under the name Brevibacillus panacihumi. RNAcentral's name for it is "c-di-AMP sequence". It matches the Rfam family "c-di-AMP riboswitch aptamer (ydaO/yuaA leader)". From Rfam's summary of the family: This family represents a conserved RNA structure found upstream of the ydaO and yuaA genes in Bacillus subtilis and related genes in other bacteria. Lineage: Bacteria; Bacillati; Bacillota; Bacilli; Caryophanales; Paenibacillaceae. RNAcentral also lists the same sequence under 1 other name. The record is from RNAcentral.